RNAcentral lists this transfer RNA (74 nucleotides) under Nanobdellota archaeon. RNAcentral's name for it is "tRNA-Pro". It matches the Rfam family "tRNA". Rfam says of the family: Transfer RNA (tRNA) molecules are approximately 80 nucleotides in length. The record is from RNAcentral. Lineage: Archaea; Nanobdellati; Nanobdellota.
GGGGCAGUAGUAUAGCUUAGUUAGUAUUCCAGCUUCGGGGGUUGGUGGCCCAGGUGCGAAUCCUGGCUGCCCCA